This 85-nucleotide transfer RNA is filed under the name Felis catus (domestic cat). It matches the Rfam family "tRNA". From Rfam's summary of the family: Transfer RNA (tRNA) molecules are approximately 80 nucleotides in length. Lineage: Eukaryota; Metazoa; Chordata; Mammalia; Carnivora; Felidae. The record is from Rfam by way of RNAcentral.
GCCUGGGUGGCUCAGUCGGUUAAGCGUCUGACUUCAACUCAGGUCAUGAUCUCGCGGUCCGUGGGUUCCAGCCCCACGUCAGGCU